UGUCUGUCUGCUUACCCCUGGUCCAGCCUGUCUGUCUGCUUACCCCUGGUCCAGCCUGUCUGUCUGCUUACCCCUGGUCCAGCCUGUCUGUCUGUCUGUCUGUCUGUCUGUCUGUCUGUCUGUCUGUCUGUCUGUCUGUCUGUGUGUGUGUGUGAGAUUGCCCAGAUCAAGCAUUUUGUAACCCACCAAAGAGCACUACUGGGGCUCCUCCAACCCCAGUCCAACCCAAGAGGAGCCAAGUCUCAUCACCCAGUGCUACAGGCGUCAUCAUAGUUCCCCCAGGGAGCCUGCACCGGGAAGAUCCCAGUGAUACGGUGCGUGGGGGGUAGUGUUUCAGGAGUAGUGAUACGGUGCUGAGGGGGUAGUGUUUCAGGAGUAGUGAUACGGUGCCUAGGGUGUAGUGUUUCAGGAGCAGUGUUAUGGGUCAGAGUGGAGAGAGGAGGGGACAGGAGAGGCAGGGAGAGGAGAACAGGACAUUAAUAGUAUUUGGCAGUAAGAAUUCAUCUAGUCUUUAGGUGUCUGCUGUGUUAAAGGUUUUAAUGUGUGACAUGUGUGACCUGGCAUUCUGUAGAUGUGUCUACAGACGUCUGUGAAUGUGUCUGGGUCCAACAGAAGUGUGUAAAUGACAGAAACAGGUCGCCUCUUUCAUGAUGGUUUAAUUGUUUUUGGGGAGUGGGGGUGUCCAUGUGUAUGCCUGUCUGAGGUAGUUGCCUUGCUACGCUGUGUGUGUGUGUGUGUGUGUGUGUGUGUGUGUGUGUGUGUGUGUGUGUGUGUGUGUGUGUGUGUGUGUGUGUGUGUGUGUGUGUGUGUGUGUGUUGUCUUGAGAUAGCUGACUGGCUGCUGUAGGGUAUAGUUACUGUUGUUUGUUGUUGUUGGUGAGUGUUUUCUCAGGGCUCUGACUGUUUAUUUACCCAGCGGUCAGGAGCUAUAUGGCCCCGCCGGUGGUGGGGGAAACCCAGCAAGAGACUAGGGGCAGCUCGUGAACACACACACACACACCCUUGUCAUCACUACGGGUGUGUGUGUUCACACGCUGCUUCCAGUCACCAUGUGUCACUUUGUCCCCAGACAUCUCACCUGUCGCACACAGGGGG
Long non-coding RNA from Oncorhynchus tshawytscha (Chinook salmon), 1094 nucleotides. NCBI's taxonomy places the organism in Eukaryota, Metazoa, Chordata, Actinopteri, Salmoniformes, Salmonidae. The record is from Ensembl.